This 256-nucleotide long non-coding RNA is filed under the name Dasypus novemcinctus (nine-banded armadillo). Its description in RNAcentral is "lncRNA (ENSDNOG00000052779.1)". The record is from RNAcentral. Lineage: Eukaryota; Metazoa; Chordata; Mammalia; Cingulata; Dasypodidae.
CUGGCUUCAGUGAUGGGGUGGGUGGUAGAUAGAAAAUUAAAUGGAAAAAAUGAAUAAAUGUGUUGAGUGAAGUAUCUAUGGUCCGGAUGGAAAUCGAAGCCAUGAACUAGUGGAAGUGUAAAGUAAAUAAAAGCAGAGUUCUGGAAAUGUCCAACAUUUCAAAGAUGAGCAGAAGGAAAAGAACCAGUGAGGAUGAAUCAGAAAAUCUCAGGCGGCUGCUGGUGACCCCAAUGGCACUCUUAGAAGCAUGGGCGGA